UCCCUACAUGAAUUCGAACAAUUUUCCGAAUUACGUUGUCAGUUUCAGAGCUCCCCGGGUUACUAGUUUUGAAAGAAUUUGGAGGUCUGUAGUCGGACCUAGUUUGCCAUACAUGACGUUUCCUACUUUGUUGUCCAUGCUUUCGAGAUUCUUACCUCGUUAGAAGAAGGUUUUGAUUACCAAUUUCUAUAGUGCCUACAGAAAAAAUAAGCUUUCCCGUAUCCAACUGAUACAAAAAAUGAGGCGACUAGCCGGAGACAAGCUUUUAAUCGCCGUAAUCAAAUUUGAUAGGAAAAAGCAACUCCAGGCAAGAAUUAGAUCUUCAGCUUCAGCAGAUUUAAAUAGUGCAAAGAGAUGUGCAGCAGGUGCUUGAGUGGCCGAAAGGGAAACUGGCUUCGUCCCGCGUUGCUUUCAACCCUGCAGAUCAUACCCUAGCAGCGUUCAUAUUCGUAGUCUUCCGCAGAUUUUUUGCAAUUGUUAUGGUUAAGGAAAAAUUGUGCGUUUUGAUCCAUUUGUUCUGCUCCAGUAGUUUUAGCUCAAGUUGGACAGUCUUUUCCGCUGAUAUGGCAUUGUAAUUCCUCAAGAACAUAUAUUUUCUCUGA
This is a long non-coding RNA of Rhododendron vialii, 602 nucleotides long. RefSeq lists it as uncharacterized. Lineage: Eukaryota; Viridiplantae; Streptophyta; Magnoliopsida; Ericales; Ericaceae. The record is from RefSeq and is a predicted model, not a curated record. The transcript has 4 exons.